AGUCGAGCGAAUGGAUUAAGAGCUUGCUCUUAUGAAGUUAGCGGCGGACGGGUGAGUAACACGUGGGUAACCUACCCAUAAGACUGGGAUAACUCCGGGAAACCGGGGCUAAUACCGGAUAAUAUUUUGAACUGCAUAGUUCGAAAUUGAAAGGCGGCUUCGGCUGUCACUUAUGGAUGGACCCGCGUCGCACUAGCUAGUUGGUGAGGUAACGGCUCACCAAGGCGACGAUGCGUAGCCCACCUGAGAGGGUGAUCGGCCACACUGGGACUGAGACACGGCCCAGACUCCUACGGGAGGCAGCAGUAGGGAAUCUUCCGCAAUGGACGAAAGUCUGACGGAGCAACGCCGCGUGAGUGAUGAAGGCUUUCGGGUCGUAAAACUCUGUUGUUAGGGAAGAACAAGUGCUAGUUGAAUAAGCUGGCACCUUGACGGUACCUAACCAGAAAGCCACGGCUAACUACGUGCCAGCAGCCGCGGUAAUACGUAGGUGGCAAGCGUUAUCCGGAAUUAUUGGGCGUAAAGCGCGCGCAGGUGGUUUCUUAAGUCUGAUGUGAAAGCCCACGGCUCAACCGUGGAGGGUCAUUGGAAACUGGGAGACUUGAGUGCAGAAGAGGAAAGUGGA
RNAcentral lists this ribosomal RNA (625 nucleotides) under Bacillus sp. (in: firmicutes). Its description in RNAcentral is "bacterial SSU rRNA". It matches the Rfam family "Bacterial small subunit ribosomal RNA", at positions 60 to 665 of the family's 1533-position model. The record is from RNAcentral. Lineage: Bacteria; Bacillati; Bacillota; Bacilli; Caryophanales; Bacillaceae.